CCUCCUCCUCCUCCUCCUCCUCCUUCCAAGAUUAAGAGCAGUCACUCUAUAUUGUUGCUGACUUUAUCCCGGACAUAUAAGAAGAGGGAUCCACCUCCAAGGCCAAUUUCUGUAUUCCCCACCGCCUCAUCAAAGCGUAAUAGAAGGAUUAUUCAGUCUGGUUUCACCUUCAGAAGGCAUGGCAUGGAAAACUCGGACAAAUAUUCUCCUUGAUACGGCCCAGUUUUAUCCUGUGAAUCAUCUUGCAGAAGAAAGGAAGAAUUUCAAUAAUAGCCCUCUAGCGCUAUCUGGCGGGACUCCAACACUAGAAGUACUCUUCCCUUCUCUCAGUUUCUUCUUAAUCUCUCCUCUCCUCUUCUCUCCCCUCCUCUCUCCUUCUCUUUUCUUCUCUCCUCUCCUCUCCUUUUCUCCCACAUUCUACUCACUUGUCUCACUCCCACCCAACUCUGAGGGAAAAAUUCAUCCAAAGGGAGUGCUAAAAUGUCCCAGGAACCAGGUGAUGCUAAAGAGAGAUGUCCCCUGCCCUGCAACUCCCUCUCUGUGGGAGGAGGGAUGGCAUAAGAAAUAAUACAGUUGCUUGGAUUAGCAUUUUAAUUUUAAGUCAUUAACACUGCUACUGAUUUUGAGGGAGUAAUUUUGACUCAAAGGAACUGUGAUUUUGGACUUUGGGUUCAUUAUUUAAAACUAAAAUCCCACCCCACAGGUCCAAAUUAGUCAAGACUAAAUUUUAGGGAUCAAGGAACAGUUUCAAUUGUUUUUUGCUUAAUCAAAACUAGCUCCUGAUUUUGUAAGGAAUGAAAGGUGUAAACACAGCAGAUCGAGAUGAGCUUAAUUGAGGAGGGAAACAUUCUUCUAAGCUCUCUCCAUUUGUCUCUUUCUCUGUUUUUGUCAGUCUCUUUCUCCUUGUCCCUUUCUUCAAUCUCCCUCUUUGCCUCCCCCCUAAAAAAGGAUAGGCUUAUUUUCGUUCCUAUCACCAGCUGGAAUCUGUCAUAUUCAGGGUUAGAUCCAAAGAAAAAUGCACACAUAUUCUUUUUCCAAAAUGAGAUGAGAAUCAGGACAAAACCAGAGGUUUUAAAAAGAGGAUUGAAGAAGAAUUUUAAGAGAGACGUGUGUGUGUGUGUGUGUGUGUGUGUGUGUGUGACAUCCCAAAUGAUAAAAAGAGAGAAAGGAAAGUCUUCCCCAAAUUGGGGACGUUUUACUCACUAGCAUGUUCCCCUCAUGGUUGUAUGCAACUUCUUAUUUGAUUUUUGGUGACCUGUGUACCAUGAAAGGUGUGUGCUUGUGUUGAGAAGAAGGGUGGGGGGAGCAGGAGACAGAUAGUUCACUGAAGUUGGGCUUUAGUUUGGCAAGAAGGUAGUGCUUAUACCAUUUAGAAUUCUCCCUCUCUCUCUCUCUCUCUCUCUCUCUCUCUCUGUGUGUGUGUGUGUGUGUCUCUGCCUGUUUGCCUGUCUGUCUCUCUUAUAUACACACUGAGCUGAGGGGAAUAAACACACACACACACACACACACACACACACACACACACACCUCCAACAUGCCCUUUUGUCAGCUCUCUUCCUCCUAGUUUUUGAAAUACAACAGAGACAGGGGCAGCUAGGGUAUGGGGGAGGAGAAGAGAGGGAGGUAGAAGCAAGACAUAAGGAGAUGUAGCUCAACUUCUUGUGUUAAUGUUGGGUUUUUGUUUUAUAAAUUUAGUUUGCCUUUUAAAAAAAUAAAGCAGUGUGGGCUGGUUCUCCACAAAAGUAACCACUGGUCAGAUAAAUCCCUAAGUGAUAGUUCCCUAUAGAGAUUGCACAUAUCUAGAUCAGUAGAUAUGGACUAUCCAAGGGGCCCAUUGCCUAUAAGACCAAAACAUAUCGAGCUCUUUUUUCCCCAUUCAGAAAUAUUUCUCAGAAAUGUAUCCAUAGAUGCAGCUAAAACCUCAAUCACAACCGUAAGGCUAAGGAAAUGGAAAGUCAAGACACAGAUUUGGGCUCUGUCCCCCAAGAACUUCGUUCACUAUGUAAGGGAUUCAGGGUCCUAGUCAAAGAAAAAAAAAAGGUAGUUUGCCUGUAAUUAAUUGAAAACAGUUAUUAGGUCAUCAUCAGCCACGGAGCAAAUAAUUGCAGCAGAUUUUUAGUUAAAAUUGACCAGCCUCUGAAUGAUAGAUCGAUUGGAGGUAUAAAAAAUGAUGUAUCAAAACAUCAAUGUCGAUUAUUUGAAAUAUUGUAGUCGAAUUUUUUUAUUGCUUCAUCGGUUAAGUGUCUGAAAGUGCAGUGUUCAAACAUAUAUUUAUGUUGUCAAUACUGUCAGAACUGUCACUUUUACUACACUGGAUUUGUACUACAUUUCGAAUUGGCUCAUUUACAUAAAAUGCCCACCCUGGAUUCUCUCCUCUCUCCUCUCUCUCUCUCUCUCUCUCUCUCUCUCUCUCUCUCUCUCUCUCUCUCUCUCUCUCUCUCUCUCUCUCUCUCUCUCUCUGUCUCUGUGUCUCUGUCUCUGUCUCUCUCCCUCUCUCUCUCUCUCUCUGCCUCCCUCCCCCUCCCCCCCCCAAUCGGUGUCAAUUUGUUUUAUCAAAGGGUUCUGGAAUACACUGAAAGUAUACACUGCUUCAUUUAGUCAAUUUUUCACGUCGGAUUAUAUGUCUUUUUCGCCACUUCCAACUCGAAGAGGGUUUGUCUCCACGCACUUCACCUCCCUCAGAAAUAGGAUUUAAACACUUUGUAGCAGUGGCGUUUUACCACUGAAUCCCCGCUUUCUUUCCCUGCCCCCAACCACUUUAAUAGAAAAACUAAAAUCUACUGCACCUCCGAGUUUGUGCACAUAUACCUACGCAGGUACAUCUACACCACAUACUUUCACGCAGGCCAUGGUCCAUCCUCAAAUUGCCCGGAAGAUUGACGGUAUACAAGGGAAAACGAAUUUGGAAACAUACUUCCCCCCUUUUUUCUUAAAAGCUGUGAUAAGAAGAAAGGAAGUAAUACAUAUAAAUGAUCGGCACAUUUUUGCCUUUAAAAGCUUUUGAACUCAGUCGAAAAGCAUGUUAGAAGCAGAAUUGACAGUUUUAAUUCUACCCACUUUCACCAGGGCGCAUCAGAUCAGAGACAAGCAAUUCUUGGUGUGGGGGGUAGGGGAAGGAAAUGGAAAGCUGGUAGUCACUUAAGUUCCUGCCGUGAAAAAUUACUAGAAAGUUAAAGACCAUCGAAAAGCAAACAUUUCUACAGUUAAUCAACUAAUUGCAAUAUACACAGAUAAGUGCACUUCUGUCCAAUUCUAUUCCUGUAGGCUCCCAUUACCCUUCCCUAUCCCUAAACCACGAUAGGAAAGAUAUGGGACAAUUCUGGCCUGGCUGGGCGGACCUGUUUUCGUUCCUGACACGCUUAGGCGAAUUUGAAAACCUUUUAAUUUGAAUACUCCGUUUGGAGGUUAAGAGAUGCUACUCAAAAAGAAAGCUUGCUUUGCUGCUUGCCGUCAAUUUCAGCAGGUAUUUUUUUUUUAAAGAGCAGACCUUAUAAUCUUCUUCAUCCUCAUGCCGGCCUUUUAAGAAAUGUGGAAAGCAAAGGUUUUGGAAAGCAAAGUUUCGUGAGUGCAUCUGUGGAUAUAUACACAUUCACACAUGUAAGCACAUAUAGACCAUAGACUUAUACAUACAUUACAUGCUUGUAUGCCACCUUCCACCAUUCAUAGGCAGAGGCAGAACUGUAUUAUCACCACAAAUGCUUUGUUUGCUUAGUUCCCCCCUCCCCAAUCUGUCCGCCAUGUAUGACAAGUGUUUCUUGAGGAAAAUGCAUCAGCCUUCUACAAAUACUUUGAGUUUGGCCAUAAUGAUCUGUGGAAGAGAAUGGCCAUCAUUUUCUCACAUCCCAAGGUGUUGCAGGAACUGGGAGAGAAGGAUUGAAGUGCUUAAUUAUAACGUGGAGGGAGAGUGCUGAGACCUUUACAAUGACCGUACCUGUAGAAAGCUCAGUCUCCUAGAGAACAUUUGGAAAAGGUAUGGCUGAUUUUUUUUUUUGCCUUUGGGGAAAAGAAAUACUUUUGUGUAAUAAUUAGCUCAGACAAUAAAAAUAAUUGGAAAAUCAGUUGGAAUUUCUGAGUUUUUAAUUAUGCUUAAUUUUGUGCUAAGCUGUAAAAUUAUGAAUGCCCCUCAAUUAAGGACUCUCCACUUCUAAAGCAUUUAACAACAAUUAUUCCCUAAUCAGUCUGAAUGUGAGUCACAAAUGAAGCUACUCUGCAUCAAAGGGACGUCUUUAGACGUUACCUUUUAGUCAUAAGUAAGAGGAUUAAUUUCUAUAAUUAGGGGGAUAAAUAUGUGCAUAAAUACAUUUUUUUUUACCCGUUUUCACUCUGAGAGACACGACUGGCUUAUAGUAUCAUGUGCAUUUUUAAUUGUCCGAGUUAGCUUGGAAUCUUUAAGCGGGCGUAUGGAGAGGGUAGGACGGGCGUGCAGACUGAGAGUCAUGCAGAGAACACACACGUGGGAAGGCAGCGGUUAGUAGCUGGCUCUGGCAGCACUGGUUGACUCCAGGAUGCUAUCCUUCCCAGGAGAUUUUCCUCCCAGCUCUCCGAAGUAGUGUCUUUUCUUUUUACUUUUCAGUUUCUCCAUCUCCAGAAGGACAGGUCCUUGCCCCAAACUGAAGCUCAAGGCUGACUUUUAAUGAUACAAAUAAAAAUUGAGUCUGACCUUCUUAAACUCCCGUGUGAAUAUCUCAUUUACCUAAUGACUUUAUGUCACCUAGGAAGAAGGUCAAUUUCCUCUUAACCUUUUCCCCACUGCUGCAGUAAGCAUUCUUUCCUAAUCAAUUGUGGCUGGAAUAAUCAAUUCCCGUUUUAUGAUCGCUGAGAAACUCAAUCUCUGAGCCAGUCUGCUAGGCGGUGUUCACUUGGGUUGGGAUAGCCUCAUACACCCAAGCUUUCCACUAUUCCGAGGAAAGUCUCACUCUCGCCAGUGCAGUUCCUAGACUUUGGCAAAGUUCCCUCCCCCAGCCCCUAGGGGAGUUUGAGUUGUCACUAAUCCGAACCUGAUAUUCCCCAGAAUUCCUUCAGUCAUUGACAACGCUCUCUGGCUGGCUGCUUUGCCUCUCAAGCCCAGGCUCCUAGUCUGUGCUUGUUUUCAUUUCCGAGCUGGUCAGCAGGAUGGAAAUGUUUUGCCCUCCCCGGCCGGUUCCCUUCAUUGUAGGCAGAUGUAAGCCUUGUGUAUCCAAUCCAACCUGUAUACCAAUAUCAGAGCAACUAAAACGUCCAAUGUGAAUUCCCAAAAGAAAGAAAAGCAACUGGUAAACAUUUUGUGCCUUCUCUCACUCCUAAAAUUACAAUUGGAAGGGACUUCUCUUUCUAACCACUACCAGCUCUCCAACAGCACCCUUACUAGGGUUGGUCCAAACCUCUAGCUUAAAGUUCUUUUUCCAAGCAGGGGACUCACUACUUCCAGGGACAGUUUAUUCCAAUUUUUGGAUAGCUCUAAUAGUCCGGAAAUUUUUCUUUUUAUCAAUCUGAAAUCUGCUUCCCUGUGACUUCCCUCAUUGGUACCAAUUAUGCCCUCUGAAAUAAAGUCAAAUCUCUCCCAAAUGGCAGCUCUUCAAAUAUUCUAAGAUUAGUGAUAGCGUCCCCCUGUCUCAAUUGAUCCCCAUACAGACUGAUUUGGAGCCUCCUCACUUUCCUGGUUGCCCUUCUUUGGACUUUCUCAAAGUUGCCAAUGCACUCUCCCCACAACAGAUCCGGACUAGAUCACUAUCCCUCAUAUUUCCACCUCCCAAGUUCCAGCUUUUUUUUUUUCUCAUACUAAAUACCUAAAAGUUUGUAAGAAACUGGCUUAGAACUUGCGCUUUACCUCCCUGUAGAAGCACCAAAUAGUUAAAUUAUAAGGUUCCUAGACCAGUCCAUAAAUCCUGUUUUACUCAUAAUUUAACUCUACUAUCAACACUGAAUUUUGAUAAUGUCUCUUGAAUGAGAGAAGUAAAAAAAGAGAGAAAAAAAGAAAAAGAAAAGACAAGGAAAACAUUCUCUUUCCCUUUUUCCCCUAGAUAAAGUGAACCUUGGGCAAUAAUCAUGAAAAAGCUGGUUUUUCUUCAGCACUCACUUCACACUUCCUUUUCUACAUUCCUCUCUCAAAGAUUUCAAGUAUCUCAAAUGGUCCUAAACUCCUCAAAAUUCCACCUUGUUAUCAUCGUAUGCUCCAAAGUGUUUUAUGUAAAAAAAAUUCUCUCUUUACUUCACUCCUUCCAUAAAAAUAUUCUAACCAUUCAUCCCUACAGCUAGGGGGUUGAAGAAAGCAACCUGAUUGGAUCAAUUCACACUAAUACACAAAUGACUCAUAAAACACCAAGUCUCCCGAUCAGUGUUUGAAUUUGUAAAUUGGGGCAUUUUGUUAAUCUAAAUGAAUCUCAGAUUAAUAGUAUUUCAGCUAUUAUGCAUUUCUAAAAAGAGAAAUAAAAGCUAAUUCCAGCAAACAGGGAACACCUGUAAUUAAUAUAGAGAGUAUUUUGGGACAAGUGAGCCACAUUUUAAGCAGGCUAGUCUUGACUAUCAGUUUUCACCCUUUGGAAUUAGGAGGGAAGAAUUCUUGUUCCCCUCCCCUAUUUUUGUUUAUUCAUCUCCACUUUGUACUGGAUGUCUGGAUUUAUAGGUUCUCUAAAUGCAUCAAGAUCGCCACCAUGACAAUGACAGUAGUCCUUCAUAGAUGGGGAAACCAGGCUGACCCUAGAUGUAAGAAUGGAUAAUUUGUAAAUUCCACCUUAAGUAAAAGAUUGUAUAUUCCUAGAAUCUCUCUUGAUCCUAGUGUCUCCAGAGGUUGCUUUGACUUUGGGUCUUCUGAAGAAUAAGAAUACAUGUAACAACACUUAAUGGAAGUGGGGAUUUUAUUGAGAUAGGCUGUGAACUCUGUAAUCUUGGGCUCUACUUUGGGCAAGUCCGGAUACUUAACUGGGUCUCAGUUUCCUUAUCUAUUAAAGGAAGGAGUUGUAUUUCAUGAUUUCUAAGACUCUGUGAGGAUUUAAUCUACAUAUACUAUGAUGUAUCCCUUUAACCAAUAUUUUAAGAUUGCAAGAAUUGAUCCUAGCCUAUCAUUCUGAUUUACAUUAAUCAAGGAAAUAAUUUUUCCCACUACUGUGUAAAAAUAACAAAGAUGGAGAAAAUGAUCAGUAAAUGAUGUAGAAAUUUCCAAUAAACUUGAAAUGGAUAGUAAGAACAUGCUGAAUUUGACAUCUGAAGACCUGUGUGACAAUGGAAAAAAACAUUCAAUAUUCUGAGUCUUAAUUUCCUUUCUGGAAAAUGAGAGUAUUAGGCUAAAGCACCCCCAAAGUCCUCUUUUGUCUCUACAUUUUAUUAAUAAACUUCCAAUAGGAGAAAUAUUUAAAGAUUCGGGCUUUUUGAAAACUUCUUACUAGACUCCUCUGUACCACUCUAAAUUUCUUAUAGACUCCUGUAGCACAGAACUUGGAACUAUAGUGAGCAUGUAAAUGCUUGUUGACUUGUCUCUGAUUUUUUUUCCUUCUUCCAUAUAACAGAGAUCUGUUCUCCUUAGUUUAUGAAAAUGUAAUUAAACUUUCAUUUUUCCCAUAGCAGGCUCACUACCCUGGGGUAAAAGUACCAGCCAAACCCGGAGCAUCUUCCAACAACUAAUAUAAUAUAAUAUAUAUAUAUAUAUAUAUGCACAUAUAUAUAUAUAUAUAUUUACAAGAUGAGUGUGAUGCAAGUGAGACAUCAUGAAGCUGAAAUGGGAAGGGGAGGGGGCAAUACCCUCCCCCCCAUGAAGAAUAUUUCCUUGAGGGAUAAUGAUACUGGGUCAGUGUAUCUCUACUGGGAGGAUAUAAUUACUGAAGAGACAUUUGACAAGUUCAGGAACAUUUGAGUAAUAGAAAAGACUGACAUACCACAGAAGUUGGUGAUGGGAGUGAUGGAGGAGUUCCUUGUUGGGCAGAAGAAUAUGAAACAUCCUCUGGACGAAGUCAUUCUCUUGUCUCACAAUAGAAGGCUAGUUCUUGUUCUCUGUUCAACUCCAUUCCAGCUAUGACAAAUGAGGGGAAGGAGUAGAACAAAGAGAGAGCUAAGGCAGUCCACUGGCCCUCUGGCUAGAGUGGAAAGUGGAAACCUUGGGGAAGGGGGAUAGAUAAGCUUUCAGGAUCUUCUUGCCUUAGGCCUUGGAGGUUACUGUCCACUCUCAUUCAGCGAUUCUCCCCACCCCCCACCCCUUAGGAUUUCUGAUUUCAGUUACCUCUGGGUUAAGGAAACUCCCUUAACUGAUGCAUGGUUAGCUAACCUUUCUGUAAUCUCUCACAUGGAAUGUUUCCUGGGUUUCUAAGGAAUUAAAUGAUUAGCUCAGAGUUACACAGCUUAAUGUGCAUCAAAUGCAGAAGAAGAUGAACCUAGGUCUUCUUGACUCUGAGACUGGCUCUCUACUACUCCAUGAUAUCGCUUAAUGCAGGCAUAUAAUAAGAGAAAUGGGUUUUGUGGGCCUUUUUCUAAGGGAAAAUGCACUGUGAUCUCCCAACACACUUUUGUUUGUAUUUAUGGGCUACUUGUAAAUUAAAAAAAAAUGAUAUUU
Long non-coding RNA from Monodelphis domestica (gray short-tailed opossum), 8518 nucleotides. RefSeq lists it as uncharacterized. NCBI's taxonomy places the organism in Eukaryota, Metazoa, Chordata, Mammalia, Didelphimorphia, Didelphidae. The record is from RefSeq and is a predicted model, not a curated record.